Molecule: ribosomal RNA, 203 nt
Filed under: uncultured bacterium
Lineage: Bacteria
Description: partial 16S ribosomal RNA
Rfam family: Bacterial small subunit ribosomal RNA
Source: RNAcentral
CGAUCCGUAGCUGGUCUGAGAGGAUGAUCAGCCACACUGGGACUGAGACACGGCCCAGACUCCUACGGGAGGCAGCAGUGGGGAAUCUUGCACAAUGGGCGCAAGCCUGAUGCAGCCAUGCCGCGUGAGUGAAGAAGGCCUUAGGGUUGUAAAACUCUUUCAGCGGGGAAGAUAAUGACGGUACCCGCAGAAGUAGCCCCGGC